Molecule: ribosomal RNA, 474 nt
Filed under: Triticum aestivum (bread wheat)
Lineage: Eukaryota; Viridiplantae; Streptophyta; Magnoliopsida; Poales; Poaceae
Description: partial small subunit ribosomal RNA
Source: RNAcentral
UUGAGACAAAAGAUAUUUUUUCUAAAAAGAUUCGAUUCGAAACUCUUAUAUGUCCAAGGUCAAUAUGAAAAUUCUUUCAGAGGUUUUCCCUUACUUUGUCCGUGUCAACAAACAAUUUGAAAUACCUCGACUAUUUCAGAACAGGUCCGAGGCUUCUCUCCUUGCCCCCACCGGACCGCCGUGUCGCCCCACCCCCACUCCAUAGGCACCUCCCCCGCGGCCUCCUCCGGCCCUCUUUCCCCAGCGGCGGCCUCCACUCCGGAACCCCCUCCAGCCCCGCCCCGCCGUCGCCCCUGCCUCCAGCCCUCCUCCGCCGCCCCCUCCAGCCACCAACUCCGCCACCGCAUAUGCCCAUCUCCGCAAACGGUGCUCGUGGUAUGCGCACCUGCUCGGAGCUUGGUCUUUGCAUUGUCAGGUACCCGCUUUCUUUGUCUCGCACGAUGUAUUCUUGUGACCAUGUGCGCACCUAAUUAG